AUUGAACGCUGGCGGCAGGCCUAACACAUGCAAGUCGAGCGGCAGCGGGAAAGUAGCUUGCUACUUUUGCCGGCGAGCGGCGGACGGGUGAGUAAUGCCUGGGAAAUUGCCCAGUCGAGGGGGAUAACAGUUGGAAACGACUGCUAAUACCGCAUACGCCCUACGGGGGAAAGGCAGGGGACCGUUCGGGCCUUGCGCGAUUGGAUAUGCCCAGGUGGGAUUAGCUUGUUGGUGAGGUAAUGGCUCACCAAGGCGACGAUCCCUAGCUGGUCUGAGAGGAUGAUCAGCCACACUGGAACUGAGACACGGUCCAGACUCCUACGGGAGGCAGCAGUGGGGAA
This 341-nucleotide ribosomal RNA is filed under the name uncultured bacterium. RNAcentral describes it as "bacterial SSU rRNA". It matches the Rfam family "Bacterial small subunit ribosomal RNA", at positions 30 to 361 of the family's 1533-position model. The record is from RNAcentral.